GGGUCAGUAGGUUGGUCGUGCCACCGGUACGUACUGGUCUCACUGAUUCCUCCUUCCUGAAGAACCGUAACGCCAUUAAUUUGGCGUUGCGGGGAAACUGGACUGUUACUUUGAAAAAAUUAGAGUGUUUAAAGCAAGCUAACGCUUGAAUACAUUAGCAUGGAAUAAUGAAAUAGGACGAUCGAUCCUAUUUUGUUGGUUUCUAGGAUUGACGUA
This 216-nucleotide ribosomal RNA is filed under the name Glomeromycotina sp. RNAcentral's name for it is "partial small subunit ribosomal RNA". The stretch from base 87 to 216 matches the Rfam family "Eukaryotic small subunit ribosomal RNA", at positions 733 to 864 of the family's 1831-position model. The record is from RNAcentral. Lineage: Eukaryota; Fungi; Glomeromycota.